ACUCAAAUGAAUUGACGGGGGCCCGCACAAGCGGUGGAGCAUGUGGUUCAAUUCGAUGCAACGCGAAGAACCUUACCUGGUCUUGACAUCCCGGGAAUCUCCCUGAAAGGGGAGAGUGCCUUCGGGAACCCGGUGACAGGUGCUGCAUGGCUGUCGUCAGCUCGUGUCGUGAGAUGUUGGGUUAAGUCCCGCAACGAGCGCAACCCUUGUCUUUAGUUGCCAGCGGUUAGGCCGGGCACUCUAGAGAGACUGCCGGUGUCAAACCGGAGGAAGGUGGGGAUGACGUCAAGUCCUCAUGGCCUUUAUGACCAGGGCUACACACGUGCUACAAUGAUCGGUACAAAGGGCAGCGACACCGCGAGGUGAAGCAAAUCCCAAAAAACCGACCCCAGUACGGAUUGCAGUCUGCAACUCGACUGCAUGAAGUUGGAAUCGCUAGUAAUCGCGGAUCAGCACGCCGCGGUGAAUACGUUCCCGGGCCUUGUACACACCGCCCGU
RNAcentral lists this ribosomal RNA (498 nucleotides) under uncultured bacterium. RNAcentral's name for it is "partial 16S ribosomal RNA". It matches the Rfam family "Bacterial small subunit ribosomal RNA", at positions 899 to 1397 of the family's 1533-position model. The record is from RNAcentral.